CCGGACCUGACUGCUAUCGGAUUGGUACUAAGCCAUGCGAGUCAUUGUAGCAAUACAAGGCGGACGGCUCAGUAACACGUAGUCAACCUAACCUAUGGACGUGGAUAACCUCGGGAAACUGAGAAUAAACCGCGAUAGAUCAUUAUGCCUGGAAUGGCUUAUGGUUCAAACAAUUUAUUGCCGUAGGAUGGGACUGCGGCCUAUCAGCUUGUUGGUGAGGUAAUGGCCCACCAAGGCUAUAACAGGUACGGGCUCUGAGAGGAGAAGCCCGGAGAUGGGUACUGAGACACGGACCCAGGCCCUAUGGGGCGCAGCAGGCGAGAAACCUUAGCAAUGUGCGAAAGCACGACUAGGUUAAUCCGAGUGAUUCCUGUUGAAGGAAUCUUUUGUCAGUCGUAAAACCACAGACGAAUAAGGGGUGGGCAAGUCUGGUGUCAGCCGCCGCGGUAAUACCAGCACCUCGAGUGGUCAGGAGGUUUAUUGGGCCUAAAGCAUCCGUAGCCGGCUUUGCAAGUCUCCGGUUAAAUCCAGCUGCUCAACAGAUGGGCUGCCGGAGAUACUACACAGCUAGGGAGCGGGAGAGGCAGACGGUAUUCUGUGGGUAGGGGUAAAAUCCAUUGAUCCAUAGAGGACCACCAGUGGCGAAGGCGGUCUGCCAGAACGCGUUCGACGGUGAGGGAUGAAAGCUGGGGGAGCAAACCGGAUUAGAUACCCGGGUAGUCCCAGCUGUAAACGAUGCAAACUCGGUGAUGCAUUGGCUUAUGGCCAAUGCAGUGCCGCAGGAAGCCGUUAAGUUUGCCGCCUGGGAGUACGGACGCAGUCUGAAACUUAAAGGA
RNAcentral lists this ribosomal RNA (836 nucleotides) under uncultured archaeon. RNAcentral describes it as "bacterial SSU rRNA". It matches the Rfam family "Archaeal small subunit ribosomal RNA", at positions 17 to 863 of the family's 1478-position model. The record is from RNAcentral.